RNAcentral lists this ribosomal RNA (253 nucleotides) under uncultured bacterium. RNAcentral describes it as "partial 16S ribosomal RNA". It matches the Rfam family "Bacterial small subunit ribosomal RNA", at positions 524 to 776 of the family's 1533-position model. The record is from RNAcentral.
UACGGAGGAUCCGAGCGUUAUCCGGAAUCAUUGGGUUUAAAGGGUCCGUAGGCGGGCCUUUAAGUCAGGGGUGAAAGCCCGCGGCUCAACCGCGGGACCGCCCUUGAUACUGGCGGCCUGGAGUGGCGGUGAAGUGGCCGGAAUAUGUGGUGUAGCGGUGAAAUGCAUAGAUAUCACAUGGAAUACCGAUUGCGAAGGCAGGCCACUAACCGCGCACUGACGCUGAUGGACGAGAGCGUGGGUAGCGAACAGG